GGAUGCGAGGGUGAUCUGGCUGUGACAUCUCUCACCCCAAUGAUCACCAGGGUUGAUUCAGCUGAUCUGGCUGCCCAGGUGGGUGUUCCCUUUCUCCCUUACCCCCUGUAUGUGUCCCUCCUGAAGCUGCAUGCUGAGUAGAAGAGGAUGACCUUUCCCCAUAGAAGGGGACCAUUCUUCAGUUGAGGGUAUAGGAGUAACUGCUCUCCCCUGCUAGAAGCUCUAAACAAGCUCUCAGUGUCCAUUUGUAGGAGAACACAAGGUAGUAAAGAUUCCAAGACUCCAGACACCUCCAAAUGAGGCACUGCACAUGAAAGUCUGCUUUUCUUA
This 330-nucleotide small nuclear RNA is filed under the name Felis catus (domestic cat). Its description in RNAcentral is "7SK RNA". It matches the Rfam family "7SK RNA". From Rfam's summary of the family: 7SK was discovered as an abundant small nuclear RNA in the mid-70s but a possible function has only recently been suggested. The record is from Rfam by way of RNAcentral. Lineage: Eukaryota; Metazoa; Chordata; Mammalia; Carnivora; Felidae.